RNAcentral lists this ribosomal RNA (164 nucleotides) under Pycnandra fastuosa. Its description in RNAcentral is "5.8S ribosomal RNA". It matches the Rfam family "5.8S ribosomal RNA". Rfam says of the family: 5.8S ribosomal RNA (5.8S rRNA) is a component of the large subunit of the eukaryotic ribosome. It is transcribed by RNA polymerase I as part of the 45S precursor that also contains 18S and 28S rRNA. Functionally, it is thought that 5.8S rRNA may be involved in ribosome translocation. The record is from RNAcentral. Lineage: Eukaryota; Viridiplantae; Streptophyta; Magnoliopsida; Ericales; Sapotaceae.
UAAUGACUCUCGGCAACGGAUAUCUCGGCUCUCGCAUCGAUGAAGAACGUAGCGAAAUGCGAUACUUGGUGUGAAUUGCAGAAUCCCGCGAACCAUCGAGUCUUUGAACGCAAGUUGCGCCCGAAGCCAUUAGGUCGAGGGCACGUCUGCCUGGGCGUCUCACA